Long non-coding RNA from Sarcophilus harrisii (Tasmanian devil), 503 nucleotides. RefSeq lists it as uncharacterized. The transcript is spliced from 3 exons. The record is from RefSeq and is a predicted model, not a curated record. NCBI's taxonomy places the organism in Eukaryota, Metazoa, Chordata, Mammalia, Dasyuromorphia, Dasyuridae.
GAGGUUAGGGCAUAAUAUAUAAGAUUGGAGAAUCAUCAUCAUAAGAGAGGAUAAUUGAAUCUAUGGGAACUGAUGAGAUCACCAAGUGAAGUAAUAUGGAGGGAAAAUAAAGGCAGCCAAGGACAGAACCCUGACACCCACUUUAAUGGGCGACUUGGAUGAAGAUCCGGCAAAGGAAUCUGAGAAAGAACAGUCAGACAGAGGAGAGGAUGAAGCGGUCUGUAGAAGUGAGGGGACUCCAAGGCGAAGAUGUAACAAGCUGGUGGACGCAGGUUUUUAAAAUUUCACAAUACCCCCUGAGACAUUUAGCAACAUCGUGAAGUGUUGCCGAAGCAAGAUAGAAGAUUCCUGCUUUAUUAACUCAUUCUUCACCAACUUUUGUGCCAUUCAGCACUAAAUCAAAGAGAUAUUUGCACACCUUGGGUAAAUUUGAGAUUUAUAUUUCUAGUGUUAGAGUUGAAAAUUUUAUUAUUACAUAUUGGACUGAAAAAAUUAAUAACUCA